This 497-nucleotide ribosomal RNA is filed under the name uncultured bacterium. Its description in RNAcentral is "partial 16S ribosomal RNA". It matches the Rfam family "Bacterial small subunit ribosomal RNA", at positions 28 to 507 of the family's 1533-position model. The record is from RNAcentral.
GAUGAACGCUGGCGGCGUGCCUAAUACAUGCAAGUCGAGCGAACAGACGAGGAGCUUGCUCCUCUGACGUUAGCGGCGGACGGGUGAGUAACACGUGGAUAACCUACCUAUAAGACUGGGAUAACUUCGGGAAACCGGAGCUAAUACCGGAUAAUAUAUUGAACCGCAUGGUUCAAUAGUGAAAGACGGUUUUGCUGUCACUUAUAGAUGGAUCCGCGCCGCAUUAGCUAGUUGGUAAGGUAACGGCUUACCAAGGCAACGAUGCGUAGCCGACCUGAGAGGGUGAUCGGCCACACUGGAACUGAGACACGGUCCAGACUCCUACGGGAGGCAGCAGUAGGGAAUCUUCCGCAAUGGGCGAAAGCCUGACGGAGCAACGCCGCGUGAGUGAUGAAGGUCUUCGGAUCGUAAAACUCUAUUAUUAGGGAAGAACAAAUGUGUAAGUAACUAUGCACGUCUUGACGGUACCUAAUCAGAAAGUCACGGCUAACUACGUG